Molecule: ribosomal RNA, 255 nt
Filed under: uncultured bacterium
Lineage: Bacteria
Description: partial 16S ribosomal RNA
Rfam family: Bacterial small subunit ribosomal RNA
Source: RNAcentral
UACGUAGGGUCCGAGCGUUGUCCGGAAUUACUGGGCGUAAAGAGCUCGUAGGUGGUUUGUCGCGUUGUUCGUGAAAACUCACAGCUUAACUGUGGGCGUGCGGGCGAGUACGGGCAGACUUGAGUACUGCAGGGGAGACUGGGAAUUCCUGGUGUAGCGGUGGAAUGCGCAGAUAUCAGGAGGAACACCGGUGGCGAAGGCGGGUCUCUGGGCAGUAACUGACGCUGAGGAGCGAAAGCGUGGGGAGCGAACAGG